This is a non-coding RNA of Pocillopora verrucosa, 825 nucleotides long. NCBI's taxonomy places the organism in Eukaryota, Metazoa, Cnidaria, Anthozoa, Scleractinia, Pocilloporidae. The record is from RefSeq and is a predicted model, not a curated record.
GAAAGUCUUUAUUUGGCCUGGUGGUUCAUUCACUUGCAAAAUGUAGAAAAGGAGCCGUUUUGUGUACAAACAAGGAUAUAAAAAAAUAGGUAUUUUGGUACUUACGGUCGGGAGAUGGGUCAAACAAGCUUAUUUUACCGUUUAAACAGAAUCAAGUAGGACUUUUUAAAUGCUGAUGCGAAUUGUCCAGGUUACGUUAUUACAGCUUUUGAAAUGAUUUGAGAUGCUGAAAAAUAUAGGAUCAAAAGGACUUGCUGAAAUCUCAAGGAUAUUUAAGCUCUGAAAACCACUGAAGUCAACAGAUCAGACUUCCUGGCCCCACUUCCUGGGCAUCUUGUGAACUUGGCAUGUAUAAUGAUGGCAAGUGUAUCAUCCAAGGUUGAAGGUCUGGCUGAGGUCACAGCUUUAGUCUACAACAGCACUAAUGGUAUACUGACUUGUCUUGAUCCAGAUACAGAGUACAUUGAAUGUGCAGACCCCACUGGAUGUGGCCUGGGUUUAGACAGCCCCACACAAGACCAUCAGGCUUGUACUGAGCUUUCUCUUCCAGCUGGUUCUAACAACAAAACAGACAUGUUUCCAACUCUGCCGUGGACUCCAGAAAUGAUUGCAACAUACUGCAAGAAAAAAAAGGGGUGUGGUACCUCAACCUAACUGGGCACCCAUACAGUUCUGUUUUUUGUUUCUUUAAUUUAUUUUCCAGAUAUAUCUUCAUGUUCUAAUAUUAUCUUAUCCAAUGGUGACCUGGAUCCAUGGAGAACUGGAGGUGUAAGUUUAUGGUAUUUGAAGGGCUGUGGUUGCUUCCAACUGCUGUUGUUGGAUUUA